Molecule: small nucleolar RNA, 222 nt
Filed under: Erinaceus europaeus (western European hedgehog)
Lineage: Eukaryota; Metazoa; Chordata; Mammalia; Eulipotyphla; Erinaceidae
Description: Small nucleolar RNA SNORA73 family (ENSEEUG00000022351.1)
Source: RNAcentral
CUAGCAAAACAAUGAUUAUGUAAAUAGACCACAGUGGCAAGCCAUGCAACAGAAGGGGUCUUAGAAGCAGAGUUUAGAAGCAGACCAACACUACCCCAUGAUGUAUAGUCCCUUUCUAUAAUGUUAGAGAUGAAGUUGCGCCUCUGAAUUUGUGCAUGCAUAUUCCUACAACUUCUCAGAGUCCUGUGGACAAUGAGGAAGUGAACCAUGUAGGAAACAUGC